GGGACUGUAGCUCAGUGGUAGAGCACUUACCUUGCAUAUAUGAGGCACUGGGUUCGAUCCUCAGCACCACCU
Non-coding RNA from Ictidomys tridecemlineatus (thirteen-lined ground squirrel), 72 nucleotides. The record is from Rfam. Lineage: Eukaryota; Metazoa; Chordata; Mammalia; Rodentia; Sciuridae.